CCUACGGGAGGCUGCAGUGAGGAAUAUUGGUCAAUGGGCGCGAGUCUGAACCAGCCAAGUCGCGUGAAGGAAGAAGGUACUUAGUAUUGUAAACUUCUUUUGUCCGGGAACAAAGGCGGAGACGCGUCUCCGGAUGAGUGUACCCGACGAAAAAGCAUCGGCUAACUCCGUGCCAGCAGCCGCGGUAAUACGGAGGAUGCGAGCGUUAUCCGGAUUUAUUGGGUUUAAAGGGUGCGCAGGCGGAGGUGCAAGUCAGCGGUCAAAUCGCGGGGCUCAACCCCGUACUGCCGUUGAAACUGCAUCCCUUGAGUGCGCGAGAAGUAGGCGGAAUGCGUGGUGUAGCGGUGAAAUGCAUAGAUAUCACGCAGAACUCCGAUUGCGAAGGCAGCAUACCGGCGCGCAACUGACGUUCAUGCACGAAAGCGUGGGUAGCGAACAGGAUUAGAUACCCUUGUAGUC
Molecule: ribosomal RNA, 459 nt
Filed under: uncultured bacterium
Lineage: Bacteria
Description: partial 16S ribosomal RNA
Rfam family: Bacterial small subunit ribosomal RNA
Source: RNAcentral